Molecule: ribosomal RNA, 164 nt
Filed under: Phyllonoma ruscifolia
Lineage: Eukaryota; Viridiplantae; Streptophyta; Magnoliopsida; Aquifoliales; Phyllonomaceae
Description: 5.8S ribosomal RNA
Rfam family: 5.8S ribosomal RNA
About the family: 5.8S ribosomal RNA (5.8S rRNA) is a component of the large subunit of the eukaryotic ribosome. It is transcribed by RNA polymerase I as part of the 45S precursor that also contains 18S and 28S rRNA.
Source: RNAcentral
GAAAGAAUCCAGAACGACUCUUGGCAAUAGAUAUCUUGGCUCUCGCAUCGGUGAAGAACGUAGCGAAAUGCGAGACUUGGUGUGAAUUGUAGAAUCUCGUGAACCAUCAAGUUUUUGAACGUAAGUUACGCCCGAAGCCAUUAGGCCGAGGGCACGCCUGCCUG